Molecule: long non-coding RNA, 374 nt
Filed under: Gossypium barbadense (sea-island cotton)
Lineage: Eukaryota; Viridiplantae; Streptophyta; Magnoliopsida; Malvales; Malvaceae
Description: long non-coding RNA (GBAR_LNC019549)
Source: RNAcentral
AGCAGAGGGGAAAAAACAUUUUGGGGAGAAGACAAGUUAAUUUGGUCAAUUAUCAUCCAAAAGCAGUUCAAGUUGAAGAAAAGGAGAAAUUUUUAGCUUCUCCAUCUAGAGAGAAGCCCUUUUCUGAUGGAGAAAUUUUAAGAGAAAAUGAGGUUGUUCUUGGUUCCUUCUCAAACGUGAAAAAGAACGGGGCCUAAGCAAAUUUCCCAAAAAUGUUUCGUUGAAGCUGCUUUGAAAACUCAAAGUUUUGGUGAACAAGACAAACUUCCUUAAUCCAAAGUAAAUAUAUAUGGCUUAUUUGCAUUUCAAUGCUUGUGGAGUGUCCUAAAAAGUUUCAAGGUUUAUUUAUUGAAUAUUAAGAUAUGGGUCUCACG